GACAAUUAGGGACAGGAGGAUACAGAGGACUGGGGGGUCACAGGAGGACAAUUAGGAACAGGAGGAUAUGGAGGACUGUGGGGCACAGGUGGAAAAUUGGGGACAGGAGGACUGGGAGGAGGUGGAGAAUAUUCUGCUGCUGCCAAAGCUGAUGAUAUGGAAACAGAAUUGUUGCCUUAUUGAUGGUUUAGAGAAGAUAAUGAUGGU
This is a long non-coding RNA of Sander lucioperca (pikeperch), 207 nucleotides long. RefSeq lists it as uncharacterized. Lineage: Eukaryota; Metazoa; Chordata; Actinopteri; Perciformes; Percidae. The record is from RefSeq and is a predicted model, not a curated record. The transcript is spliced from 2 exons.